CGAUUCGAGCGAAAGCGGGAAAGCGUUGCCGCAGGCAACGACCCGAAGGGCGAAGCGCGCAGCGCUGAGUCAUCCUUCCCCCACCACCA
This 89-nucleotide small RNA is filed under the name Salmonella enterica subsp. enterica serovar Praha. RNAcentral describes it as "partial RtT sRNA". It matches the Rfam family "RtT RNA", at positions 44 to 130 of the family's 130-position model. Rfam says of the family: This family represents a bacterial cis-regulatory element known as RtT RNA. The exact function of RtT is unknown although it is thought that it may be involved in changing the cellular response in relation to amino acid starvation. Lineage: Bacteria; Pseudomonadati; Pseudomonadota; Gammaproteobacteria; Enterobacterales; Enterobacteriaceae. The record is from RNAcentral.